This is a long non-coding RNA of Salmo salar (Atlantic salmon), 698 nucleotides long. RefSeq lists it as uncharacterized. Lineage: Eukaryota; Metazoa; Chordata; Actinopteri; Salmoniformes; Salmonidae. The record is from RefSeq and is a predicted model, not a curated record.
UUCCUGGUAUGAUAGUUCCCUGUCCAUCGUCACAAACGGCUUACAGAGACAGUGGUAACCAUGGAGAUGUCUGGGGACAUUGUUUAUACCAAUGAAGAUGUUUUCGGGGAACCGUUUGGAGUUGACAACCAUAACUAUGUCUUUGAAGAGUCAAUGUAUGAAACUCCAGAUAUGUCUACUUACUACCAGACUGGGAAUGAAGUGAACCCAAGAAGGACACCACAACCUGGUUACUCAGGUUCUGAUAGCUCAUGGAAGAGACCCUUCCUUGUUGCUGCAGUGUCUCUGGGGCUGCUGUGUGUUCUCCUACUGGCUGGGAUCAUUGGCUUGUCAGUCUCCUAUUUGAUCGAUGGAUCUGGAUCGGUCUGACAGAGAGACACAGGGAACCUGGAAAUGGGUGGACGGCACACCACUGACCAAAGCGUUCUGGUGGUGGUCAGAACCUGAUUCUGCCGCUGGAGAGAAGGACUGUGCUAUGAUGUAUGGAGGUGUACAAAAUAUUCCUCUACACGCAUGGAAUUACUUUAGGUGUGACUUGAAAUUGGAAUGGAUUUGUGAGGUGUUUUUUUCUUAACAAUACCAUAACAACAUUGUGUACUCUCAAACAUACACACACACACACACACACACACACACCUUAAACUUGUCACGCCAUAUUAUGCUUGUGAUACAGUCACAAUAAAGUUUUAUCAGAUUUA